RNAcentral lists this long non-coding RNA (200 nucleotides) under Nicotiana benthamiana. RNAcentral describes it as "long non-coding RNA (NBEN_LNC032533)". Lineage: Eukaryota; Viridiplantae; Streptophyta; Magnoliopsida; Solanales; Solanaceae. The record is from RNAcentral.
CAGAGUUAUUAAUAGCAACAGUUGAUUCACAGGUUUUAAUAUUAUGCUUUUUAAUAAAGCUAAAAUGACCUAUCUGGUAGAUCUUAUAAAAGGGUUCAGCAGGGAUACUCCAGUUAUCCAAAUUAGACUCAGUUAAUGCAAUCUGAGUUGAACGAGAAGAAGUAUUAACAGAAUUUAAAACAUUUUGAUUCAUGUUUUUA